This 66-nucleotide transfer RNA is filed under the name Cohaesibacter gelatinilyticus. It matches the Rfam family "tRNA". From Rfam's summary of the family: Transfer RNA (tRNA) molecules are approximately 80 nucleotides in length. Their secondary structure includes four short double-helical elements and three loops (D, anti-codon, and T loops). Further hydrogen bonds mediate the characteristic L-shaped molecular structure. tRNAs have two regions of fundamental functional importance: the anti-codon, which is responsible for specific mRNA codon recognition, and the 3' end, to which the tRNAs corresponding amino acid is attached (by aminoacyl-tRNA synthetases). tRNAs cope with the degeneracy of the genetic code in two manners: having more than one tRNA (with a specific anti-codon) for a particular amino acid; and 'wobble' base-pairing, i.e. permitting non-standard base-pairing at the 3rd anti-codon position. Lineage: Bacteria; Pseudomonadati; Pseudomonadota; Alphaproteobacteria; Hyphomicrobiales; Cohaesibacteraceae. The record is from Rfam by way of RNAcentral.
UGGAUAGCUCAAUGGGUAGAGCAACAGAUUCAGGUUCUGUCGGUCGAAGGUUCGAAUCCUUUUCCA